Molecule: long non-coding RNA, 351 nt
Organism: Leopardus geoffroyi (Geoffroy's cat)
Lineage: Eukaryota; Metazoa; Chordata; Mammalia; Carnivora; Felidae
Exons: 2
Source: RefSeq, a predicted model, not a curated record
CACACACAGAGUGAAGUAACUUGCCUGCACUGGCCCGGGUUUGUAAGUAGCCGACUCAAGAUUCGAACCAAAUCCAGGCCUCACUGGAUCCACAUUUUGAGGUCUUUUCACCCUGAACCUGGAUAAGUACUCUUUCUUGAGGGCAGACUUGGAGACAAAUGAAGAUGACAAAUUCCAGAGGAAUGGAAAAAUUCCAGAUGUUCUCUGUUUAGAUUCAGAAAUGCUUCCUCUAUGGUAUCCCUGAACUACUGGCUGACUUGCAAAACAGAAACUUAUAAUUGACCAUCCUUCCAUAUGUCUUCUCAGGAUCCACUCACUCACAAUAAAAUAAAUUAAUAUUUAUUCAUUUCA